CACGUAGGCACCAAGCGUUGUCCGGAUUUAUUGGGCGUAAAGAGCUCGUAGGCGGUUCGGUAAGUCGGGUGUGAAAACUCUGGGCUCAACCCAGAGCCGCCACCCGAUACUGCUGUGACUCGAGUGCGGUAGGGGAGCGGGGAAUUCCUGGUGUAGCGGUGAAAUGCGUAGAUAUCGAGAGGAACACCUGCGGCGAAGGCGGGUUGCUGGGCUGACACUGACGCUGAAGCGCGAAAGCUAGGGGAGCGAACGGG
RNAcentral lists this ribosomal RNA (254 nucleotides) under uncultured bacterium. RNAcentral describes it as "partial 16S ribosomal RNA". It matches the Rfam family "Bacterial small subunit ribosomal RNA", at positions 524 to 776 of the family's 1533-position model. The record is from RNAcentral.